GAUGAACGCUGGCGGCGUGCCUAAUACAUGCAAGUCGAACGCAUUGUGGUUGAAAUGAUAUGAAGAACUUGUUCAGAUUUGAUUUUCAACAUUGCAACGAGUGGCGAACGAGUGAGUAACACGUGGGAAACCUACCUCUUAGCAGGGGAUAACAUUUGGAAACAAAUGCUAAUACCGUAUAAUAAUUAAAAACCGCAUGGUUUUAGUUUAAAAGAUGGUCUUGCUAUCACUAAGAGAUGGUCCCGCGGUGUAUUAGUUAGUUGGUGAGGUAAUGGCUCACCAAGACAAUGAUACAUAGCCGAGUUGAGAGACUGACCGGCCACAAUGGGACUGAGACACGGCCCAUACUCCUACGGGAGGCAGCAAGUAGGGAAAGUCUUCCUACCAAAUAGGACGAAAGUACUGAUGGAGCAACGCCGCGUGUGUGAUGAA
This 432-nucleotide ribosomal RNA is filed under the name uncultured bacterium. RNAcentral describes it as "bacterial SSU rRNA". It matches the Rfam family "Bacterial small subunit ribosomal RNA", at positions 28 to 412 of the family's 1533-position model. The record is from RNAcentral.